CCUGAUGACAAUAGCAAGUUGGUACCACCUGAUCCCAUUUCGAACUCAGUAGUGAAACGACUUAGCGCCGAUGGUAGUGUGGGAGUUCCCAUGUGAGAGUAGGUCAUUGUCAGGC
Molecule: ribosomal RNA, 115 nt
Filed under: Pseudomonadales bacterium
Lineage: Bacteria; Pseudomonadati; Pseudomonadota; Gammaproteobacteria; Pseudomonadales
Also listed under: 1 other name
Source: RNAcentral